RNAcentral lists this ribosomal RNA (760 nucleotides) under Staphylococcus aureus. RNAcentral describes it as "partial 23S ribosomal RNA". It matches the Rfam family "Bacterial large subunit ribosomal RNA", at positions 231 to 989 of the family's 2925-position model. The record is from RNAcentral. Lineage: Bacteria; Bacillati; Bacillota; Bacilli; Caryophanales; Staphylococcaceae.
UCGAUUCCCUUAGUAGCGGCGAGCGAAACGGGAAGAGCCCAAACCAACAAGCUUGCUUGUUGGGGUUGUAGGACACUCUAUACGGAGUUACAAAGGACGACAUUAGACGAAUCAUCUGGAAAGAUGAAUCAAAGAAGGUAAUAAUCCUGUAGUCGAAAAUGUUGUCUCUCUUGAGUGGAUCCUGAGUACGACGGAGCACGUGAAAUUCCGUCGGAAUCUGGGAGGACCAUCUCCUAAGGCUAAAUACUCUCUAGUGACCGAUAGUGAACCAGUACCGUGAGGGAAAGGUGAAAAGCACCCCGGAAGGGGAGUGAAAUAGAACCUGAAACCGUGUGCUUACAAGUAGUCAGAGCCCGUUAAUGGGUGAUGGCGUGCCUUUUGUAGAAUGAACCGGCGAGUUACGAUUUGAUGCAAGGUUAAGCAGUAAAUGUGGAGCCGUAGCGAAAGCGAGUCUGAAUAGGGCGUUUAGUAUUUGGUCGUAGACCCGAAACCAGGUGAUCUACCCUUGGUCAGGUUGAAGUUCAGGUAACACUGAAUGGAGGACCGAACCGACUUACGUUGAAAAGUGAGCGGAUGAACUGAGGGUAGCGGAGAAAUUCCAAUCGAACCUGGAGAUAGCUGGUUCUCUCCGAAAUAGCUUUAGGGCUAGCCUCAAGUGAUGAUUAUUGGAGGUAGAGCACUGUUUGGACGAGGGGCCCCUCUCGGGUUACCGAAUUCAGACAAACUCCGAAUGCCAAUUAAUUUAACUUGGGAGUCAGAA